GACGAACGCUGGCGGCGUGCUUAACACAUGCAAGUCGAACGGAAAGGCCCUGCUUUUGUGGGGUGCUCGAGUGGCGAACGGGUGAGUAACACGUGAGUAACCUGCCCUUGACUUUGGAAUAACUUCAGGAAACUGGGGCUAAUACCGGAUAGGAGCUCCUGCUGCAUGGUGGGGGUUGGAAAGUUUCGGCGGUUGGGGAUGGACUCGCGGCUUAUCAGCUUGUUGGUGGGGUAGUGGCUUACCAAGGCUCUGACGGGUAGCCGGCCUGAGAGGGUGACCGGCCACAUUGGGACUGAGAUACGGCCCAGACUCCUACGGGAGGCAGCAGUGGGGAAUAUUGCACAAUGGGCGGAAGCCUGAUGCAGCAACGCCGCGUGCGGGAUGACGGCCUUCGGGUUGUAAACCGCUUUCGCCUGUGACGAAGCGUGAGUGACGGUAAUGGGUAAAGAAGCACCGGCUAACUACGUG
This 468-nucleotide ribosomal RNA is filed under the name uncultured bacterium. RNAcentral describes it as "partial 16S ribosomal RNA". It matches the Rfam family "Bacterial small subunit ribosomal RNA", at positions 28 to 507 of the family's 1533-position model. The record is from RNAcentral.